Long non-coding RNA from Lutra lutra (Eurasian river otter), 529 nucleotides. RefSeq lists it as uncharacterized. The record is from RefSeq and is a predicted model, not a curated record. NCBI's taxonomy places the organism in Eukaryota, Metazoa, Chordata, Mammalia, Carnivora, Mustelidae. The transcript is spliced from 3 exons.
AUUCCGCUCUGAUUUAUUUUUUUAAAGAUGGUAUUUAAGGAAGCAGUAGCUCAUCUACGAAAAAAGUGAGCCAUUCAAAGAAGCUUGCCUUUGAGGCCGCCGGGAGCCGGGGCAAGCGCGGCGCCGACGCAGGCCGUCCAGCCGGAGGCUUGGGUGGGCGCCAGGUGUGACCUUCCCCGAUGAAGUCCCCAGCCGAGGGUACUGCAGGCGACAGACGCUCCCUCGCAAGGCCGCGGGCUCGGUGGGGGCUUCGCCCCGACGCGCGCUUCUGUGUCGCCGCAGGCACCCCCACCGCGGUGACACGCACGUUGGCGCACCCCUUGGGUCCUUGGGAAGAACCAAGGAGAUCAAAGUGUGCUUUUAUGGAAAGACCCGGCAAGAUGUAGCUUUUCGUGGCUGUAUUCUUGGGAGGAAGACCACAUGGGUACAUGCUAUCACUGAAGAUUUCUCUCUCUCCAUGUUGACCUUGAUCACCUGCCUAAGGUAAGGUAGUUUGUCGGGUUUCUCCACUGUAAAGCUACUUUCCCAC